CUUAGUACGGCGAGUGAAGCGGCAAAAGCUCAAAUUUGAAAUCUGGUACCUUCGGUGCCCGAGUUGUAAUUUGGAGAGGGCAACUUUGGGGCCGUUCCUUGUCUAUGUUCCUUGGAACAGGACGUCAUAGAGGGUGAGAAUCCCGUGUGGCGAGGAGUGCGGUUCUUUGUAAAGUGCCUUCGAAGAGUCGAGUUGUUUGGGAAUGCAGCUCUAAGUGGGUGGUAAAUUCCAUCUAAAGCUAAAUAUUGGCGAGAGACCGAUAGCGAACAAGUACAGUGAUGGAAAGAUGAAAAGAACUUUGAAAAGAGAGUGAAAAAGUACGUGAAAUUGUUGAAAGGGAAGGGCAUUUGAUCAGACAUGGUGUUUUGUGCCCUCUGCUCCUUGUGGGUAGGGGAAUCUCGCAUUUCACUGGGCCAGCAUCAGUUUUGGUGGCAGGAUAAAUCCAUAGGAAUGUAGCUUGCCUCGGUAAGUAUUAUAGCCUGUGGGAAUACUGCCAGCUGGGACUGAGGACUGCGACGUAAGUCAAGGAUGCUGGCAUAAUGGUUAUAUGCCGCCCGUCUUGACC
This 565-nucleotide ribosomal RNA is filed under the name Saccharomyces cerevisiae (brewer's yeast). RNAcentral describes it as "partial large subunit ribosomal RNA". It matches the Rfam family "Eukaryotic large subunit ribosomal RNA", at positions 79 to 659 of the family's 3401-position model. The record is from RNAcentral. Lineage: Eukaryota; Fungi; Ascomycota; Saccharomycetes; Saccharomycetales; Saccharomycetaceae.